UCAAAAGAUAAGCUAAGUAAGCUAAUGGGCUCAUACCUCAUUUAUGAGAGCCAACCUCUCUCUUUUU
Molecule: transfer RNA, 67 nt
Filed under: Cherax destructor
Lineage: Eukaryota; Metazoa; Arthropoda; Malacostraca; Decapoda; Parastacidae
Description: tRNA-Met
Source: RNAcentral